GUUUAAGCUUCUUAAUUGCAACAAUUUCACCAGUUACAAGUGAUCCCUUGAAAACUAUACCAAAAACACCCUCGCCAAGCAAGUUUUUGUUAGAGAAAUGAGCUGUUGCCCUUGCUAGUUCUUCAUAAGUAAAGAUUCUUGGUGAAGUAAUUUGUUUGCUUUCAAUGCCAAGUACAGACUGUAGAUCAAAACGAGUACCUCCAUGAAGAGAUAUCCUCUCCUUUAGAGGCGUAGUUCCUUCAAGAAUUUCAAUUAUCUGUUUCAUGUUUGGCCGAGAGUUUAAAGGCUUAUAUACACAAGCAGCAGCACAAUAAGUCAUUCUUUGCAUUUCUCUUUCAUCACAAGCUCCUCGCAAUUUCAAAUCAACAAAACCUUCAUAUUUCUUGCUGUAUAGUACUUCUUCAAUUCGAGAUUUUGCCCAAGUAACAAUACUGUCACUUUCACUUAGAGGUUUUCUUCCAGUAAUUAGCUCCAGAAGCACAACGCCAAAGGAAUAAACAUCUGAUUUCUUAGAUACUUUUCGUUUUGCGUACUCUGGAUCCGCAUAAACAUUUUUUCCCCUUAAUACACUGGUGAUAUGGCCAACAUUGUCAAUAUUUGGCAAAAACACGGCGAGCGAAAAAUCUGCAAGCUUUGGUUCAAAAUUAUCGUCAAGAAGAAUAUUUUCUGACUUAACAUCUCGGUGUAUAAUUUUACAAUUUUCAUGUAGAUAUUGCAAUCCAUCCGCAGAUUUUACGGCGAUUUUCAUUCUUUUUGCCCAUUCUAAAACGUUCCCUUUUCCAUCUAGAUGAUGUCUCAAGGUUUUAUUGGGAACAAACUCUAAAACAAGUAAUCUAUCGGCU
Molecule: unclassified non-coding RNA, 842 nt
Filed under: Hevea brasiliensis (rubber tree)
Lineage: Eukaryota; Viridiplantae; Streptophyta; Magnoliopsida; Malpighiales; Euphorbiaceae
Source: RNAcentral